GAAUUCACUAGUGAUUCAGGCCUAACACAUGCAAGUCGAGCGAGCUUGCCUAGAUGAUUUUAGUGCUUGCACUAAAUGAAACUAGAUACAAGCGAGCGGCGGACGGGUGAGUAACACGUGGGUAACCUGCUCAAGAGACUGGGAUAACACCUGGAAACAGAUGCUAAUACCGGAUAACAACACUAGACGCAUGUCUAGAGUUUGAAAGAUGGUUCUGCUAUCACUCUUGGAUGGACCUGCGGUGCAUUAGCUAGUUGGUAAGGUAACGGCUUACCAAGGCAAUGAUGCAUAGCCGAGUUGAGAGACUGAUCGGCCACAUUGGGACUGAGACACGGCCCAAACUCCUACGGGAGGCAGCAGUAGGGAAUCUUCCACAAUGGACGAAAGUCUGAUGGAGCAAGGCCGCGUGAGUGAAGAAGGGUUUCGGCUCGUAAAGCACGGGUGGUAGUGAAGAAAGAUAGAGGUAGUAACUGGCCUUUAU
RNAcentral lists this ribosomal RNA (481 nucleotides) under uncultured bacterium. RNAcentral's name for it is "bacterial SSU rRNA". It matches the Rfam family "Bacterial small subunit ribosomal RNA", at positions 34 to 478 of the family's 1533-position model. The record is from RNAcentral.